RNAcentral lists this transfer RNA (77 nucleotides) under Candidatus Uhrbacteria bacterium. RNAcentral's name for it is "tRNA-Arg". It matches the Rfam family "tRNA". Rfam says of the family: Transfer RNA (tRNA) molecules are approximately 80 nucleotides in length. Their secondary structure includes four short double-helical elements and three loops (D, anti-codon, and T loops). The record is from RNAcentral. Lineage: Bacteria; Candidatus Uhriibacteriota.
GAGGUUUUAGCUCAGCUGGAUAGAGCGUCUGGCUUCGAACCAGAAGGUCGGGGGUUCGAGUCCCUCAAGCCUCACCA